GACGAACGCUGGCGGCGUGCUUAACACAUGCAAGUCGAACGAAGAGCGAUGGAAGCUUGCUUCUAUCAAUCUUAGUGGCAAACGGGUGAGUAACGCGUAAUCAACCUGCCCUUCAGAGGGGGACAACAGUUGGAAACGACUGCUAAUGCCGCAUACGAUCUGACCUCGGCAUCGAGGAUAGAUGAAAGGUGGCCUCUAUUUAUAAGCUAUCACUGAGGGAGGGGAUUGCGUCUGGUUAGCUAGUUGGAGGGGUAACGGCCCACCAAGGCGAUGAUCAGUAGGCGGUCUGAGAGGAUGAACGGCCACAUUUGGACUGGGACACGGCCCAGACUCCUACGGGAGGCAGCAGUGGGGGAUCUUCCGCAAUGGACGGAAGUCUGACGGAGCAACGCCGCGUGAGUGAUGACGGCCUUCGGGUUGUAAAGCUCUGUUAAUCGGGACGAAAGGCCUUCUUGCGAAUAGUUAGAAGGAUUGACGGUACCGGAAUAGAAAGCCACGGCUAACUACGUG
RNAcentral lists this ribosomal RNA (510 nucleotides) under uncultured bacterium. Its description in RNAcentral is "partial 16S ribosomal RNA". It matches the Rfam family "Bacterial small subunit ribosomal RNA", at positions 28 to 507 of the family's 1533-position model. The record is from RNAcentral.